GCGACUGUAGUCUAGUUCUGGAUAUUCUUCUGUCUUGAAGUCUCGAGCCUUGAAAACAAAAGUAAAGCUCAGGACUCGAAACACGAAACUGAAAACUAUCCGGAGGACUUCGGUAGGAUUCUAGAUUGCCAAUCUAGUGACCCGAGUUCGAACCUCGGCGGUCGCA
RNAcentral lists this transfer RNA (166 nucleotides) under Microcaldota archaeon. Its description in RNAcentral is "tRNA-Gly". Lineage: Archaea; Nanobdellati; Microcaldota. The record is from RNAcentral.